Molecule: long non-coding RNA, 750 nt
Filed under: Prunus persica (peach)
Lineage: Eukaryota; Viridiplantae; Streptophyta; Magnoliopsida; Rosales; Rosaceae
Description: long non-coding RNA (PPER_LNC007852)
Source: RNAcentral
UAAUUUCCAUCCUAUUUAAGCUAUCGAAGCAUUGUUUACUAAGGUCACUCUCUCCUUCACACGAUGAGAGACUUGAUGGCUAGGGGUUAGGGUUUCUCCAGUUUUCUUUAUUUAUUCUCUACAUCAUCUCUCUCAAGUCUUCUCUGAUUGUCGCUCUGGGUUCUUCUUGUGUAUUGGGUCCAACUUUUUUUUUUUUUUGGGGGUCUUUUGUUCUCCGUUGGGUAGCUGCGCCGACUUCCUUUCUGGAUUCCGAAGGAGGAAUUCGCUGGUGAGGGGUCUCCAUCUUAAAGCUAUGGAGGUGACCACCUCUUCUUUUGUUCAAGGGGAAAAGUGGAUAGUAUUUCAUGUCCAAUUAAGACACUAUCAUAAAUUAAGAGUGCUGCUAAAGGAACCCUAAAAUUAACUGAGUACACCUUACUACUAAACUAUUUAUUGAAUUACUAAUUUACCAUAAUAUAAAAUUUUCAAAACGGAUAAGUAUACUCUACUCAUCAUUCAACCCUAAUCAAAUGUAGAAAAGUUUUCAUAUUAUUUGAUGCCCACGACGAACAACGCAGCGAGUAUUAACGGAUGCGCAAGGAGGUGUCGUUAAUUUUAAUAGAAGCAUUAAUGUGGAGCAUUCCAAUCACCCCAGAGCGAAGCUGAAGGGCCUUUUGCAGCCUGAAAGUAAGAAUAACCUCUCUCGUUCAAUGCAUUUCGAAUUGUAUUGCAUAAUAUAAUAAACACUUAUGUAUGAAUUAUGUAGGAAAU